GCGGAAGCGAAGACCCAAGC
RNAcentral lists this non-coding RNA (20 nucleotides) under Vibrio phage 1.062.O._10N.286.55.C3. The record is from RNAcentral. Lineage: Varidnaviria; Abadenavirae; Produgelaviricota; Belvinaviricetes; Vinavirales; Autolykiviridae. RNAcentral also lists the same sequence under 2 other names.